RNAcentral lists this ribosomal RNA (253 nucleotides) under uncultured bacterium. RNAcentral describes it as "partial 16S ribosomal RNA". It matches the Rfam family "Bacterial small subunit ribosomal RNA", at positions 524 to 776 of the family's 1533-position model. The record is from RNAcentral.
GACGAAGGAUGCAAGCGUUAUCCGGAUUCAUUGGGUUUAAAGGGAGCGUAGGCGGCCUUGUAAGUCAGUGGUGAAAUCUCGCGGCUUAACUGCGAAACUGCCAUUGAUACUGCAGGGCUUGAGUACAGUUGCCGUUGGCGGAAUAUGACAUGUAGUGGUGAAAUACAUAGAGAUGUCAUAGAACACCGAUUGCGAAGGCAGCUAACGAAACUGUAACUGACGCUGAGGCUCGAAAGUGUGGGGAUCAAACAGG